AUGCAUGAGGGAGAUGGCAUGCCUCCCGCUCCAGCCAUGGAGCGAACCGCCGAAGUGCAGCCGCACCGACGCUAAUGAUGCCUGCACCACC
Molecule: non-coding RNA, 91 nt
Filed under: Rhodanobacter spathiphylli
Lineage: Bacteria; Pseudomonadati; Pseudomonadota; Gammaproteobacteria; Lysobacterales; Rhodanobacteraceae
Description: Rhodanobacter sp. Fluoride sequence
Rfam family: Fluoride riboswitch aptamer (crcB RNA motif)
Source: RNAcentral